CUGUGCAAAGGUAGCAUAAUCAUUAGUUUUUUAAUUGAAAGCUGGAAUGAACGGUUUGAUAAAAAAAAUUCUGUCUCAAUUUUAAUUUUGGAAUUUUAUUUUUAAGUUAAAAAGCUUAAAUUUUUUAAAAAGACGAGAAGACCCCAUAGAGUUUUACAAUUGUUUAUUUGAUUUUUGUUUUGAUUUAAUUUUGAGAUUGAAUUAAUGUUGUUUUAUUGGGGUGAUAUGAAAAUUUAAGUAACUUUUUAUUUAUUUUAACAUUAAUUUAUGAAUAUUUGAUCCUAAAUUUUGGAUUAUAAGAUAAAAUUACCUUGGGGAUAACAGCGUAAUUUUUUUUGAGAGUUCUAAUCGAAAAAAGAGUUUGCGACCUCGAUGUUGGAUUAAAGUAAAAUUUUGGUGUAGAAGUUAAAAUUUUAAGUCUGUUCGACUUUUAAAACA
This 438-nucleotide ribosomal RNA is filed under the name Chrysanthia geniculata. RNAcentral describes it as "partial 16S ribosomal RNA". It matches the Rfam family "Bacterial large subunit ribosomal RNA", at positions 1946 to 2595 of the family's 2925-position model. Lineage: Eukaryota; Metazoa; Arthropoda; Insecta; Coleoptera; Oedemeridae. The record is from RNAcentral.